GCCAGGCAUGGUGGUGCAGGCCUGUAGUCCCAGCUUCUUGGGAGGCUGAGGUAGGAGGCUUGUUUGAGCCCAGAAGGUUGAGGCUGCAGUGAGCUAUGACCGUGCCACUGCACUCCAGCCUGGGCACAAGAGUGAGACCCUGUCUCUA
Molecule: non-coding RNA, 148 nt
Filed under: Chlorocebus sabaeus (green monkey)
Lineage: Eukaryota; Metazoa; Chordata; Mammalia; Primates; Cercopithecidae
Source: Rfam by way of RNAcentral